Molecule: non-coding RNA, 73 nt
Organism: Cordylochernes scorpioides
Lineage: Eukaryota; Metazoa; Arthropoda; Arachnida; Pseudoscorpiones; Chernetidae
Source: the annotation of a GenBank genome assembly
UGAGGUACAGCGCAACGGUAGCGCGUCUGACUCCAGAUAAGAAGGUUGCGUGUUCGAAUCACGUCCGGCUCAC